RNAcentral lists this long non-coding RNA (847 nucleotides) under Heterocephalus glaber (naked mole-rat). RNAcentral's name for it is "lncRNA (ENSHGLG00000047121.1)". The record is from RNAcentral. Lineage: Eukaryota; Metazoa; Chordata; Mammalia; Rodentia; Bathyergidae.
GCCCGGGGCUGCGGGCUGAGCCCGACGGAUGGGUGGGUGCACAGAUUACAGGUCUGGAGGUCUGGAUUAGUGACGGAGCGCCUGCCGUGUUCCCCAGGACCGCGCUGUGCAGGGAGGAGCUUCCGGGCGAUGCUAAGGCCCGGGUUGUGGCCGAGCUCCUGCAUAGUUCACCGUAACCCAGGUGCAGAGCAUUCAGUCUACUACUUUCCGCCUCCCACCCGGGGCGCAGGAGCCUGGGCUCGGCAUCCCGGGGGGAGCGAGCGCAUCGUGACCUUGAGGAGGUGGCGAUCCGAGGGCGUGGACCCGGGCCAGCUAAACGCCGACCGCUUGAGGGUGCAACGACAGAGUGAUGCAGAGGAGGAGAAGCGAGGUUUCAAGGUGAACACGCCGCGUGACCUGAAGUCUGCUAACUUGGCCAGAGCACCCCGUGUUGGGUAGCACCAGAGCUGGGCUUGAACGCUUUUCUGCAGCUUUGGUAAUAAUCACCCUUGUAGUGGGUGACUACGCUCUGCUUGCAGCUGCUGUUCCUCUUCCUCUUCUCUUUCCUGGUCCCACAGCAUCCUAACUCCCUUUGACUUGUCUGGGCCAUUUCCUGCUCCAGGAAACACACCUUUAACCACCAGAUUCUCCCAGACGGCCAGGCGCACCCAAUACAAAACCACCAGGACCUAAGGUGCAGAAGGUCCUCUGUCAAGUGUUAUUCUCAGCCUGUACCCCCACACCCAGCAUUCAGGAAGCUGAGACCCAGGGGUCAUGAGUUCCAGGCCAGGUUGGGCUACAAGGCAAGACCAUGUCUCAAGAGAAAACUGAAAUACACCCUGGGCAUCCCAAUCUCAAGGUCUUCAGC